This 497-nucleotide ribosomal RNA is filed under the name uncultured bacterium. RNAcentral's name for it is "partial 16S ribosomal RNA". It matches the Rfam family "Bacterial small subunit ribosomal RNA", at positions 28 to 507 of the family's 1533-position model. The record is from RNAcentral.
GAUGAACGCUGGCGGCGUGCCUAAUACAUGCAAGUCGAGCGAACGGACGAGAAGCUUGCUUCUCUGAUGUUAGCGGCGGACGGGUGAGUAACACGUGGAUAACCUACCUAUCAGACUGGGAUAACUUCGGGAAACCGGAGCUAAUACCGGAUAAUAUUUUGAACCGCAGGGUUCAAAAGUGAAAGACGGUCGUGCUGUCACUUAUAGAUGGAUCCGCGCUGCAUUAGCUAGUUGGUAAGGUAACAGCUUACCAAGGCAACGAUGCAUAGCCGACUUGAGUGGGGGAUCGCCCGCCUUGGAGCUGGGCCAGGGUCCAGACUCCUGCGGGAGGGACCAGUAGGGAACCUUCCGCAAUGGUCGAAAGCCUGACGGAGCAACGCCACGUGAGUGAUAACGGUCUCCGGAUCGUAAAACUCUGUUAUUAGGGAAGAACAUAUGUGUAAGUUACUGUGCACAUCGUGACGGUACCUAAUCAGAAAGCCCCGGCUAACUACGUG